This 77-nucleotide transfer RNA is filed under the name Kangiella japonica. RNAcentral's name for it is "tRNA-Arg". It matches the Rfam family "tRNA". From Rfam's summary of the family: Transfer RNA (tRNA) molecules are approximately 80 nucleotides in length. Their secondary structure includes four short double-helical elements and three loops (D, anti-codon, and T loops). Further hydrogen bonds mediate the characteristic L-shaped molecular structure. tRNAs have two regions of fundamental functional importance: the anti-codon, which is responsible for specific mRNA codon recognition, and the 3' end, to which the tRNAs corresponding amino acid is attached (by aminoacyl-tRNA synthetases). tRNAs cope with the degeneracy of the genetic code in two manners: having more than one tRNA (with a specific anti-codon) for a particular amino acid; and 'wobble' base-pairing, i.e. permitting non-standard base-pairing at the 3rd anti-codon position. Lineage: Bacteria; Pseudomonadati; Pseudomonadota; Gammaproteobacteria; Kangiellales; Kangiellaceae. RNAcentral also lists the same sequence under 8 other names. The record is from RNAcentral.
GCGUCCGUAGCUCAGUCGGAUAGAGCAACGGCCUUCUAAGCCGUGGGUCGCAGGUUCGAAUCCUGCCGGACGCGCCA